CCUACGGGUGGCAGCAGUGGGGAAUAUUGGACAAUGGGCGAAAGCCUGAUCCAGCCAUGCCGCGUGUGUGAAGAAGGCCUUCGGGUUGUAAAGCACUUUCAGUGGGGAAGAAAGCCUUGGGGCUAAUACCCUCGAGGAAGGACAUCACCCACAGAAGAAGCACCGGCUAACUCCGUGCCAGCAGCCGCGGUAAUACGGAGGGUGCGAGCGUUAAUCGGAAUUACUGGGCGUAAAGCGCGCGUAGGCGGUCUGAUAAGCCGGUUGUGAAAGCCCCGGGCUCAACCUGGGAACGGCAUCCGGAACUGUCAGGCUAGAGUGCAGGAGAGGAAGCUAGAAUUCCCGGUGUAGCGGUGAAAUGCGUAGAGAUCGGGAGGAAUACCAGUGGCGAAGGCGGCCUUCUGGACUGACACUGACGCUGAGGUGCGAAAGCGUGGGUAGCAAACAGGAUUAGAUACCCUGGUAGUC
This 465-nucleotide ribosomal RNA is filed under the name Vreelandella stevensii. Its description in RNAcentral is "partial 16S ribosomal RNA". It matches the Rfam family "Bacterial small subunit ribosomal RNA", at positions 338 to 795 of the family's 1533-position model. Lineage: Bacteria; Pseudomonadati; Pseudomonadota; Gammaproteobacteria; Oceanospirillales; Halomonadaceae. The record is from RNAcentral.